Molecule: ribosomal RNA, 483 nt
Filed under: uncultured bacterium
Lineage: Bacteria
Description: partial 16S ribosomal RNA
Rfam family: Bacterial small subunit ribosomal RNA
Source: RNAcentral
GACGAACGCUGGCGGCGUGCUUAACACAUGCAAGUCGAACGAUGAAGCUGGAGCUUGCUCCGGUGGAUUAGUGGCGAACGGGUGAGUAACACGUGAGCAAUCUGCCCUUGACUCUGGGAUAACUGCGGGAAACUGUAGCUAAUACCGGAUAUGAGGCUUGGAGGCAUCUCCAGGUCUGGAAAGAAUUUCGGUCAAGGAUGAGCUCGCGGCCUAUCAGCUAGUUGGUGAGGUAAUGGCUCACCAAGGCGACGACGGGUAGCCGGCCUGGGAGGGUGACCGGCCACACUGGGACUGAGACACGGCCCAGACUCCUACGGGAGGCAGCAGUGGGGAAUAUUGCACAAUGGGCGCAAGCCUGAUGCAGCAACGCCGCGUGAGGGAUGACGGCCUUCGGGUUGUAAACCUCUUUUAGUAGGGAAGAAGCGAAAGUGACGGUACCUGCAGAAAAAGCACCGGCUAACUACGUGCCAGCAGCCGCCGUAA